GGCCGCUUAGCUCAGCCUGGUAGAGCAUCGCAUUGAAAAUGCGGGUGUCCCCGGUUCAAAUCCGGGAGCUGCCA
Molecule: transfer RNA, 74 nt
Filed under: Phycisphaerae bacterium
Lineage: Bacteria; Pseudomonadati; Planctomycetota; Phycisphaerae
Also listed under: 1 other name
Description: tRNA-Phe
Rfam family: tRNA
About the family: Transfer RNA (tRNA) molecules are approximately 80 nucleotides in length. Their secondary structure includes four short double-helical elements and three loops (D, anti-codon, and T loops).
Source: RNAcentral